CAUAUAAGUUAUAUCAUGCGAU
RNAcentral lists this microRNA (22 nucleotides) under Oreochromis niloticus (Nile tilapia). RNAcentral describes it as "oni-miR-10918". Lineage: Eukaryota; Metazoa; Chordata; Actinopteri; Cichliformes; Cichlidae. The record is from miRBase by way of RNAcentral.